Perca fluviatilis (European perch) is the source of this 1599-nucleotide long non-coding RNA. RefSeq lists it as uncharacterized. The transcript has 8 exons. NCBI's taxonomy places the organism in Eukaryota, Metazoa, Chordata, Actinopteri, Perciformes, Percidae. The record is from RefSeq and is a predicted model, not a curated record.
AUUAUGCGACCAACCUUAAUGAUGAUUGACAUUUUUAUUGUCGGGGCCCUGUGAUUGGCUGACUGGCCGGGGUGAAGCUGGGGGUGAUAGCCGACAUCCAGCCAUCGACAUGUGAUCAAGACGCCCAAGGUGAAUCCAAGUUUCACGCUUCGCAGGACCGCACACUUGAUGACAGCUCCAGUAUCUCCGGUAAAACGACGAAUGAUCAGACCACUGCAACAGCGGCGCCCCUCCCUCCACACACGGUCUUAGACUGACAUCUGGUGUCAGACCACUGCAACAGCAGCGCCCCUCCCUCCACACACGGUCUUACACUGACAUCUGGUGGCAGGAUGAUACUGGAGCUGCUGCUGUUUGCUGCUCUGCUAGUCGGAGGUUAUUUUCUUCUCCACAUGACUUUUCUCAAGCUGCCACGAUGUAAAAGUGCUGCAAAGUUACACGGGAAAAUCGUCAUCGUCACCGGAGCAAACACCGGCAUCGGUAAGACCACGGAGAUGGAUUUGGCCAGGAGGGGGGCGAGGGUGAUCCUGGCCUGCAGGGACAGACGGCGAGCCGAGGCCGCCGCUCAGGAAAUCAUCCAGGUGUACUUGUGAAAACUGUGAACACAUGCCCCAGGAGAGAGAAAAUAUAUGUUGCUGGGAAAUACCACAGGUCAUGAGAAUAAUGACCCAGGUUCCUGAGGAGAUAACCUGUAUGCAUGACCAUCCUGACCUUCAUCCAGUGUGCCUCAAUAUAUAUUCUUUGCAAAAUGCAAUGAAUAUUAAUAUUUACAGAGUUGACCAUGGCCGGUUGAGAAUCCGAGGGUUGGAAAGAUGGGGUCUGCAAAAUGAAGACACUGCCAGGGAGUCGUACCUGAAGGCCAUGCAAGAUUUCCACGUGAACUUCAGCAUUACAGCAUCAGGGCUAUUUAUCAACCCGGACCUACCAUGGCUACGAGCAUCGCCAGAUGUUGUGGUGACCUGUGAUUGAUUGGUGUGCUUGAUAUAAAAUGUCCUUUUAAUGCAAAUGGCCGUGCUCUCAAGGAAUGUGUCAGCGACCCACAUUUCUGCUUUACUGUGACUGCGGAAGGUAUGACCCUCAAGUAAGAUCAUAGUUACAUGUACCAACUGCUGGCCCAAAUGCGUGUAGCUGAGGUAAUGUACAUGGAUUUCGUUGUAUGGACACCAAAAGAAGUUUUUAUGCAAUGAGUCCAAUUUGAUCAAUACUUUUUUGAUGAGGCCUACACUAGGGUGGAAGAAUUCAUUAGAACAGGGGUAUUGCCGGAGCUGUUGGGUAAAUGGUUUACUGUGCCACACCUCUCCUCAAGUGCUAACCUUGAGAAGGAACCUGAGGGAUGUUACUGGGGGAAACCCUGUUGAUGACACAGACAUCCUCUCUCGCACAUCCGAGCAAUGCAAACGAAAGCGCUUCCACAAGUCAUGUCUGAAGCUGAGCAGGGUGCCAAAGAUUUGGAAGUGUUUAGAAUGCAAAAAGCAAACAAACAAGAAAUGAAGUUGGCAAGGCAAGGUAGCUUUAUUUGUAUAGCCAACAUGGCAUCAUGACUUUGCGUAAAUAUAUACGCCACUUUCAUAAAGCCAAAUGGCGUGUUAUUUUACGCAA